Molecule: microRNA precursor, 90 nt
Organism: Homo sapiens (human)
Lineage: Eukaryota; Metazoa; Chordata; Mammalia; Primates; Hominidae
Rfam family: mir-663 microRNA precursor family
Source: Rfam
CCGUCCGGCGUCCCAGGCGGGGCGCCGCGGGACCGCCCUCGUGUCUGUGGCGGUGGGAUCCCGCGGCCGUGUUUUCCUGGUGGCCCGGCC